This is a long non-coding RNA of Leptopilina boulardi, 936 nucleotides long. RefSeq lists it as uncharacterized. The transcript is spliced from 5 exons. Lineage: Eukaryota; Metazoa; Arthropoda; Insecta; Hymenoptera; Figitidae. The record is from RefSeq and is a predicted model, not a curated record.
AGAAACCUAAAAGAGGAACAAAAAAUUCCAAAUUCUAAAACUAAAAAAACUAACCUAACAAAAAACAAAAUUCAAAAUAAAGAUAACAAAGGCACCGAAGAAUCUAUAUAAUCAAAUGAAAAAAGCAUUUCUAAUGGGGAUAAUGAGAAAAAUCAGAUAUUAAAUGAACAAGAAGUACCACUUGAAGGAGUUAAAUGCUCUAAAAAUGAUUUGAGGGACAAAAAUGUGGCCAAACAGCAGAAUAAGGGAACGAAUAAUUCAAACCGAAAGGAAGCAAAAAAAAUUUCAAAUUCCGAAAUUAAAAAAAUUAAUAUAAAAGAACGUGAAAUUGAAGGAAAUGACGAUAAAUAUACUCAAAAAUCUGUAACAUCAAAUGUAGCAAUAAAAUCUGAUGAAAGAAACUUUUCAAAUAGAGGAAAUGAGAAUAAAAAAUUAUUUGGUGAAAAGGAGGCAUUAAAUAAAGGAGAAUGUGAAGAGAUUGAAAAGGAUCUCGUUAUUGCAUCUGAUCUAGAGGAAUUACCAACUGUAACAAAUGAGAGAGAAAUAAUAAAUAAAAAAAAGUUACAGUUGAAUAUGAUGCAGUUAAAAUAAGUGACAACGAAAAACAGAAUGAGAAAAAUAAAAACGAAAACCAAAAAGAAGACGAGAAAAUUGUUAUUUCUAGAAUUCGAAAAAUUAAUGCAACAGAAAAUAAUUUUAUAAUUGAAAGUAAUGAAGAUGCGAGAAAAUUUAUAAAAUCAAAUGAAAUAAAUAGUGGUAUAUCUGAUGAAGAAAGCGUUUUAAACGGAGAAAAUGAGAAAGAAAAAUUAGUGAACAAAAAAGAAGCAUUAUUUAAAGGAGGAAGCAAAGAAACUGAAAUGAAUGACGUUAUAUCUGAUAUAGAUUUGGUAACCGUAACAAAAGAGGAAGAAAUAAUUAUGAGCAAAAACGAAAUUA